GUAGGAUGCAAGCGUUACUCGGAUUUAUUGGGUGUAAAGGGCUCGCAGGGUGGCCCUGUAAGUCAUAGGGUGAAAGCCCUCGGCUUAACCGAGGAAUUGCCUAUGAUACUGCAGGGCUUGAGUACUGGAGAGGGAAGCGGAAUUCCUGGUGUAGCGGUGAAAUGCGUAGAUAUCAGGAGGAACACCGGUGGCGAAGGCGGCUUCCUGGACAGAUACUGACACUGAGGAGCGAAAGCGUGGGUAGCAAACAGGAUUAGAUACCCUGGUAGUCCACGCCCUAAACGAUGGGUACUAGGUGUGAGGACGAUUUAAAGUCUUCGUGCCGCAGCUAACGCAAUAAGUACCCCACCUGGGAAAGUACGGCCGCAAGGUUG
RNAcentral lists this ribosomal RNA (374 nucleotides) under uncultured organism. RNAcentral describes it as "partial 16S ribosomal RNA". It matches the Rfam family "Bacterial small subunit ribosomal RNA", at positions 527 to 896 of the family's 1533-position model. The record is from RNAcentral.